Molecule: non-coding RNA, 229 nt
Organism: Pelobates cultripes (western spadefoot toad)
Lineage: Eukaryota; Metazoa; Chordata; Amphibia; Anura; Pelobatidae
Source: the annotation of a GenBank genome assembly
GGACACGUUCUGACAUUGGUGGAGUCUAUGCCUCAAUGCAUCAGAGCUUUUUUGGCAGCACGAGGGGGACCUAAACAAUAUUAAAUGGCUUUAAUGUUGUUGCUGAUUAGUGUAGUUCUCAGUGUUGUACUCUCGUGACUGACAGAUGAAGGGCCAGGAGCUGAAGAUGGUCACCCAGAAAAAAAAGGCGUCAGCUGCUGCAAGGGACAGUCUUCAGGUAAGUAACCCC